RNAcentral lists this transfer RNA (83 nucleotides) under Actinoallomurus iriomotensis. RNAcentral describes it as "tRNA-Tyr". It matches the Rfam family "tRNA". Rfam says of the family: Transfer RNA (tRNA) molecules are approximately 80 nucleotides in length. Their secondary structure includes four short double-helical elements and three loops (D, anti-codon, and T loops). RNAcentral also lists the same sequence under 1 other name. Lineage: Bacteria; Bacillati; Actinomycetota; Actinomycetes; Streptosporangiales; Thermomonosporaceae. The record is from RNAcentral.
GCAUGGGCCUGGUCAUGGGUGAGACCAAGCGGCUGUAAACCGCCCGCUUCGCGCUGUGCAGGUUCGACUCCUGCCCCAUGCAC